Molecule: long non-coding RNA, 1136 nt
Organism: Zingiber officinale
Lineage: Eukaryota; Viridiplantae; Streptophyta; Magnoliopsida; Zingiberales; Zingiberaceae
Exons: 3
Source: RefSeq, a predicted model, not a curated record
CCGUAAUCAGGUCUAAUACCGUUCAUCAAAUCCAAACUUCCAACGACAGGUGAUCAGGUGGAGGUAUUACUUCCAACGACAACUCUCUUAGCCCACACCACUUUUUCUCACGCACACGAAGACACGACGCCGCCAUCCUGCUUCUCCCUCACCAACGGCCGACGGCUCCAUUCCAUCUCCUCACUGCCGGCCGGCCAUCUCCAUUACCUCUCCAUGUCCUCUAUUCCCAUCAUCUUCUCACUCAAGCAACUGACGGACCAAGUUCACCCGACGCCAACAACACUACCAUCCUUUGGCCAACUCUCCUCUUCGAGUUAGAAGAGGAGAGGGCAGCCCCUUUCGCACUCCGACAGCCCCAUUCCCUUCGUCGUAACUCCUCUUUGGGUAAGAAGAGGAGGGUCCUUCUUCACCAUCAUCCGAUAACCUUCGCCCCUCUCUUUUUCGGGUUAGAAGAGGAGAGGGCAGCCACUCCGCCAUCCACAACCCUUCAUCGAAAGCUUCCCCUUCUUCUCUUCAAGUUAGAAGAGAAGAAGUCCUUUACUUCAUCCGGGUAGCACUUCCUCCUUCCGACGAUCCCAUAACUCUGGCUUCAUCAAAUCCGACCACAAAUAAUCCAUUCAACGUUUCGGGCAGCAACACAUUUGUAAUGUUAAAAGUAUAUUGUCGUAUAAGGCCACCUUUUGAAGAUGAAGGUCUUUCUAUAAUUGAACUUCUAGAUGAAUUCACAGUUUAAGUAAACACCAAUGAUGAUUCUCUUGUCAAUCCUAAAAAGGAUUAUGAAUUUGAUCGAGUAUAUAUAUGGCCUUCAUGUUGGACAAGGGAAUUCUUUUGCGAUGUUCAACUAUUUGUACAGUCAGCUUUGGAUGGAUAUAAUGUAUCUAUAUUUGCAUUGGCCAAAUCGCCUCUUGGAAGACACAUAAUGAUUUCCUCCUUUCGUUGGAUCCUCUUGAUGUCAUUACUUCUCUCUUUUAGCUAUAUGUAUUGAAUAUGUUAUUGAAGGUUGGAGAAGACUUGUUAUUAAAAAUUGUAUAUAUUUUAGAAAUUGAAGAAGAUUUUGUGCUACAUUGUGGAGAAAAAUGUAAAUGAGAUAUAUUAAUAUUUUGAAAUGUAAUAUGAAUAUUAUAUUUUGUUUUGGU